UAUAACUCAAAGGUAAUGGGCUACAUUUGCAAGGAGAGUGUCAGCUUACUUUCUAAUGUAAGUCAAGAACAAUCAUAUGAAAUUUCUCCAUAUAAAGUUUCAGAUGAUGAAGACGAGGAGGAAGAUGACAAUAUACCGAACAGUAAAUUUGUUCCUUCAUGGGCCAGUAAAAGUCACCUAGCCCCGGUUGUUUCAUCCCAGCCACGAUAUCCAGAAUCAAUUUUCCCCCAUGAUAGCUUUUGUAGUAUUGCUGAAGUUCUCUUGCCUAGAAAGCUUCAGCUAAAGUAGUGGGCAUGGUGAUAAAUUUGGACAACAUUAUAUUUGCAUUAUCUUGGCUCUUCAGUAGUUGGUUCUACCUCCUUUGUGUUCACAAAAAGAUUCUGAAAGACCAUUUUGCAGAAAAUUCAGGAGCAGGUGAUCUCCAUUUAGCACAUUUUAUAGCUUAAGAUUGUAAAUUUAUAAUAAUGUACAUUCUUAUGUAGAUUAGAUCUUUAGCAGAGUAAGCAUACUUGAACAAAAUAUCUAGUCGAUGACCUACUAAGGCACAUUUGAUUUGUUAACUGGCUGAAGGCUGAAGCAACUUAGUUGAGAAGAGAGUUUAUAUAUAAAUGAAGGUAAACUUGUCUUUAUCCAUAAAUAACAGGAUUCUUUAGUUGUUCAAAUUCGUGUAGUGAAUUGGAAUUUUAGGUAGAAAACAUCGAGAUAGAUGUGAUCUUCGUGCAAUAUCCAUCAUUCUCGGGAACUAAAUGCGUCUUGUCAUAGGGUCUUCAACACUAGUUCCAUGGAGUUCUGAGUUUGGUAUAUUUCAUAAUGUCUCUUGGUUGGCAACUCGCAACGACAGUUAUCCUCAUGAAGUUAGACCGUUUUGUAAGGCCAAGCUGGUUCUCAUUCGAAAUUAUCUACUUGGUCUAUCAUCAUCCAAAAGUCCAAACUCUUUCAUGGCUUGGAAGUAUUCUUGGAUUUUAACAAUAAAAGGAAGGUGAGCAGAGCAGUAUUUUCAUUCUUCUAACGGCUAAAUGACGUGUACUAGUACAAUUUUUCAUUUGAAUUAGUUAACCUGGGCCCAUGACUCACAUGAUGGCCUCCGCCAUUAUGGAAUCCUUGAGAAUUUAUUUUUAGUUUUG
This 1124-nucleotide unclassified non-coding RNA is filed under the name Hevea brasiliensis (rubber tree). Lineage: Eukaryota; Viridiplantae; Streptophyta; Magnoliopsida; Malpighiales; Euphorbiaceae. The record is from RNAcentral.